Orbicella faveolata is the source of this 556-nucleotide long non-coding RNA. RefSeq lists it as uncharacterized. Lineage: Eukaryota; Metazoa; Cnidaria; Anthozoa; Scleractinia; Merulinidae. The record is from RefSeq and is a predicted model, not a curated record.
AUCAAUAAUUUUUUUUGACUCACGGAUUUGUUGAAAACCCUCUUUGUAAGGAAAAAGCUAGAUUUAUAAAUCAAAAUGAGUACAAAACUCUCUUGGAUUCUCUUAACGUUUAUGCUCUGUUCUCUUGUAACUUGGGGAAGCGCCUUCACCCCAGGAGCAGGGAAACCUCAGGUGGGAAGACGAGAAAUACCGCCAAGACCUAACACCGAACAGGAAAACUUCUUAACAGCACUCUGUGAGAAAGUUCGGCCCUGCGCAGAAAACAACAGAAAACGAAGUCUCGAUCGUGAAGCUCAACCUGCAAGGGAUGCUGGAUCCCUCACUGGAUAUUAGAUAGCCGGACGUUUGAUAAAGACAAGAUUACACUAUUUUCACAGCGUUUCUGUAAAAGAAGAAAAAUAUAUUAUAUUUCACUAAUUAUGUUCGCGCUUGUAUUUUCGUAAACUUGAUAAUGUAACUGGCAUUAUAAAACUUUUAGAAAUCAAUUAUGUGUAAGUUAAACGCUAUUUUUGUAACUGAAACGUGAAAAUAAACGAUCAGUACUGCCUUAAAUGCA